UACGAAGGGGGCUAGCGUUGCUCGGAAUCACUGGGCGUAAAGCGCACGUAGGCGGCUUUCUAAGUCAGGGGUGAAAUCCUGGAGCUCAACUCCAGAACUGCCUUUGAUACUGGAGAACUCGAGUCCGGAAGAGGUGAGUGGAACUCCGAGUGUAGAGGUGAAAUUCGUAGAUAUUCGGAAGAACACCAGUGGCGAAGGCGGCUCACUGGUCCGGUACUGACGCUGAUGUGCGAAAGCGUGGGGAGCAAACAGG
RNAcentral lists this ribosomal RNA (253 nucleotides) under uncultured bacterium. RNAcentral describes it as "partial 16S ribosomal RNA". It matches the Rfam family "Bacterial small subunit ribosomal RNA", at positions 524 to 776 of the family's 1533-position model. The record is from RNAcentral.